This 381-nucleotide ribosomal RNA is filed under the name Triticum aestivum (bread wheat). RNAcentral's name for it is "partial small subunit ribosomal RNA". The record is from RNAcentral. Lineage: Eukaryota; Viridiplantae; Streptophyta; Magnoliopsida; Poales; Poaceae.
AUGUUUGUUGGCUCUACCAUCGCGCCCAACUGGAAACUCAUCUGGCGCGCGUGGGCUCCUUUGUGGAUCCGUGUCUUUGCGUGGCUCGCAAGCCAGGAUCAUUGUUGGUCCGCCGCCCGUCUCGCGCGCCAUGGCCUGCCGCACGAUGACCGCUGCAUCUUCUGCGACCAAGUGCUGGAAACCCUUGAUCACCUUCUUCUACAAUGCCCAUUCUCCCGGAUCAUCUGGCAUGAGAUCUUUGCCUGGUGCCGGCUGCCAAUCCCCCCUCCGGACACUGAUGAAUGCUUCCUUGAGUGGUGGGCUGAUUCUACCAGGUGGGUUCCAGCGGCCAUGCGGAAAGGACUCGCCUCCCUCGCCCUUCUCACGGCAUGGUCCAUCUGA